UAGGCGAAGGCGGUUCGUCGAUACGAAAAUCGAGCGUGAAGAUAUCGCCAUUUGAAGUGCUAAAGGGUUAAAGCAAACCCAACAAAAAUUAAGCGGCGACAAGACUAGCGCAAGAGCGCGUCUCGGAGUGUUUUCGGCAUCACCUAAGGUGGGGGAGUGCCAUCCCGAAGUCAUCGGGCUACUUGUUAUGUCUAAAUUUAAAAAUGACCAAGAUGCAUAUUGUGCAUGUUCAUAUAGGGUUAGAAGAUGAUUGUUGUUGCUUAUAUUUGCAUGCUAGUAGCUAUAUAUCUCGUUGGAUGAUUUAUGAUCUAGUGUGCAUGAUGGUUAUAUGAUGAAAACUAUAGAUUGAGAACCUAGACCCUAUAUGAGAUGAUUAAUGCUUAUGUUGCUAAAGAACUAGUAUGAUGAAACUAGUGUUGAUAAUGAGUC
Molecule: long non-coding RNA, 429 nt
Filed under: Ananas comosus (pineapple)
Lineage: Eukaryota; Viridiplantae; Streptophyta; Magnoliopsida; Poales; Bromeliaceae
Description: long non-coding RNA (ACOM_LNC041237)
Source: RNAcentral